GUUAAUGACAUUUUCCUCUUUAAUGAAAUUAUCGGGCAUCUUGGUCUGCUAGAAUUGCCUCUAAAAGGAAGGAGUUUUGCCUUGUCCAAUAUGCAGGAGAAACCAGUGUUGGAGCAGCUUGAUUGGUUUUUCACAACCUCUGACUGGAUUUCUUUCGACCCUAACAUGGUUGUACUCCAAAUGGCAAAAACAUGCUCGGCUCAUAGUCCCUGCGUCGUUUCCAUCUACAGAAACAUACCAAAAGCUAGUGUUUUUCUAUUUGAAUAUUUCUGCGUGGACAUGCCGGGCUUUAUGGAACGUGUCCGUAAAUCUUGGGAAGCACUGGUUUUUUCAAACCUUUCUUCAUCAAAAGUCCUUUCAACAAAUUUUAAGCACAUGCUAUAUGAUCUGAAAGCUUGGAGCAGGAGCCUAUCAUACAUCAAGAAGCUCACGAUGGACUCUUGCCAUGUCAUUUUAGACUUUGAUAAUUUGGAGGAGCUGCACCCACUCACCAUGCCCGAAUUUAACUUCAGGAAAAAUGUCAAGCAACGUCAUGAUCUCCACUUCUAUUUGUCAUUGCUGCAGAUCUUUUACACAUUGUGGUUAAUGAUAUGUUGGCCAGAGAAAUUUUAA
RNAcentral lists this ribosomal RNA (612 nucleotides) under Triticum aestivum (bread wheat). RNAcentral's name for it is "partial small subunit ribosomal RNA". The record is from RNAcentral. Lineage: Eukaryota; Viridiplantae; Streptophyta; Magnoliopsida; Poales; Poaceae.